Molecule: unclassified non-coding RNA, 208 nt
Filed under: uncultured Trichoderma
Lineage: Eukaryota; Fungi; Ascomycota; Sordariomycetes; Hypocreales; Hypocreaceae
Description: sequence contains ITS1
Source: RNAcentral
CCGAGUUUACAACUCCCAAACCCCCAAUGUGAACGAUACCCCCCUCCUGUUGCCUCGGCGGGAUCGCCCCGGGCGCGUCGCAGCCCCGGGCCAAGGCGCCCGCCGGAGGAAAAACGCAAACCCUUCCGUCAGGACCACCCCGGUGGCCGCUGUCUUCUGUACACCUCUGAACUCCUCUGACGCUCCCCGGAGCCGACGAAAUGAAUCA